UUAAUUUGAGAGUUUGAUCCUGGCUCAGGACGAACGCUGGCGGCGUGCCUAAUACAUGCAAGUCGAACGAACUCUGGUAUUGAUUGGUGCUUGCAUCAUGAUUUACAUUUGAGUGAGUGGCGAACUGGUGAGUAACACGUGGGAAACCUGCCCAGAAGCGGGGGAUAACACCUGGAAACAGAUGCUAAUACCGCAUAACAACUUGGACCGCAUGGUCCGAGUUUGAAAGAUGGCUUCGGCUAUCACU
RNAcentral lists this ribosomal RNA (247 nucleotides) under Lactiplantibacillus pentosus. RNAcentral's name for it is "Lactobacillus pentosus partial 16S ribosomal RNA". It matches the Rfam family "Bacterial small subunit ribosomal RNA", at positions 1 to 219 of the family's 1533-position model. The record is from RNAcentral. Lineage: Bacteria; Bacillati; Bacillota; Bacilli; Lactobacillales; Lactobacillaceae.